Molecule: non-coding RNA, 123 nt
Organism: Picea glauca (white spruce)
Lineage: Eukaryota; Viridiplantae; Streptophyta; Pinopsida; Pinales; Pinaceae
Source: Rfam
GUACAUGCCAACAUCAAAGCGUUAAUGCAUCAAAUCCCAUUAGAACUUCGUAGUUAAGCACACUCAGGCUAGAGUAGUACUGGGAUGGGUGUUGGCACAUGGGUAUACCUAGGGUUCAAUACU